AUUGAACGCUGGCGGCAUGCUUUACACAUGCAAGUCGAACGGCAGCGCGGGCUUCGGCCUGGCGGCGAGUGGCGAACGGGUGAGUAAUGCAUCGGAACGUGCCCAGUAGUGGGGGAUAGCCCGGCGAAAGCCGGAUUAAUACCGCAUACGACCUGAGGGUGAAAGCGGGGGACCGAAAGGCCUCGCGCUAUUGGAGCGGCCGAUGUCGGAUUAGCUAGUUGGUGGGGUAAAGGCUUACCAAGGCGACGAUCCGUAGCUGGUCUGAGAGGACGACCAGCCACACUGGGACUGAGACUCGGCCCAGACUCCUACGGGAGGCAGCAGUGGGGAAUUUUGGACAAUGGGGGCAACCCUGAUCCAGCCAUGCCGCGUGCGGGAAGAAGGCCUUCGGGUUGUAAACCGCUUUUGUUCGGGAAGAAAUCCUCUGGGCUAAUACCCCGGGGGGAUGACGGUACCGGAAGAAUAAGCACCGGCUAACUACGUG
This 484-nucleotide ribosomal RNA is filed under the name uncultured bacterium. RNAcentral describes it as "partial 16S ribosomal RNA". It matches the Rfam family "Bacterial small subunit ribosomal RNA", at positions 28 to 507 of the family's 1533-position model. The record is from RNAcentral.